RNAcentral lists this ribosomal RNA (496 nucleotides) under uncultured bacterium. Its description in RNAcentral is "partial 16S ribosomal RNA". It matches the Rfam family "Bacterial small subunit ribosomal RNA", at positions 30 to 523 of the family's 1533-position model. The record is from RNAcentral.
UUGAACGCUGGCGGCAGGCCUAACACAUGCAGGUCGAGCGCGAAAGGUUUUCGGACUGAGUAAAGCGGCAGACGGGUGAGUAACGCGUGGGAAUCUGCCCAGUAGUGGGGGACAACAGUCGGAAACGACUGCUAAUACCGCAUACGCCCUACGGGGGAAAGGGGGGGAUCUUCGGACCUCUCGCUAUUGGAUGAGCCCGCGUCGGAUUAACUAGUUGGUAGGGUAAAGGCCUACCAAGGCUACGAUCCGUAACUGGUCUGAGAGGAUGAUCAGUCACACUGGAACUGAGACACGGUCCAGACUCCUACGGGAGGCAGCAGUGGGGAAUAUUGGACAAUGGGGGCAACCCUGAUCCAGCCAUGCCGCGUGUGUGAAGAAGGCCUUAGGGUUGUAAAGCACUUUCAGUGGGGAGAAAGGUUUGUCACCUAAUACGUGAUGAAAUUGAUGUUACCCACAGAAGAAGCACCGGCUAACUCCGUGCCAGCAGCCGCAGUAA